This 250-nucleotide ribosomal RNA is filed under the name uncultured bacterium. Its description in RNAcentral is "partial 16S ribosomal RNA". It matches the Rfam family "Bacterial small subunit ribosomal RNA", at positions 524 to 773 of the family's 1533-position model. The record is from RNAcentral.
UACGGAGGAUCCAAGCGUUAUCCGGAAUCAUUGGGUUUAAAGGGUCCGUAGGCGGCUUUAUAAGUCAGUGGUGAAAUCCGGCAGCUCAACUGUCGAAUUGCCAUUGAUACUGUAGGGCUUGAAUCGUUGUGAAGUAACUAGAAUAUGUAGUGUAGCGGUGAAAUGCUUAGAUAUUACAUGGAAUACCAAUUGCGAAGGCAGGUUACUAACACCGUAUUGACGCUGAUGGACGAAAGCGUGGGGAGCGAAC